CAUGAGUUCAAGAGUAGGUAACUCUUUACCAAUUAUAUCUCUAUAAUUCUCAAUAUUUUUCUCUCUGGCCUCUAGAUCACAUAUAGCCUUAUUGAUAACACAACAAGUGUUCUAGUUAAGUUGACCUUUCAAUCCCAUAUGGUCAUACUUAAAUAAUGCUGCUGACCCUUUAAUCCCAUAUGGUCAUACUUAAAUAAUGCUGCUCCUGUGGAUAGUACAACAAAGCAACACUAUUUCAAAAUAUAUCAUUAGCAUCAAAAUGCACUUGGUCAACA
Molecule: long non-coding RNA, 275 nt
Filed under: Elaeis guineensis (African oil palm)
Lineage: Eukaryota; Viridiplantae; Streptophyta; Magnoliopsida; Arecales; Arecaceae
Description: long non-coding RNA (EGUI_LNC039530)
Source: RNAcentral